Molecule: ribosomal RNA, 253 nt
Filed under: uncultured bacterium
Lineage: Bacteria
Description: partial 16S ribosomal RNA
Rfam family: Bacterial small subunit ribosomal RNA
Source: RNAcentral
CACGUAGGGUGCGAGCGUUGUCCGGAAUUAUUGGGCGUAAAGCGCGUGUAGGCGGCUUUGCAAGUCGGGUGUGAAAGCCCUCAGCUUAACUGAGGAAGUGCGCCCGAAACUGCAUGGCUUGAGUACCGGAGAGGAUGGUGGAAUUCCCGAAGUAGAGGUGAAAUUCGUAGAUAUCGGGAGGAACACCGGUGGCGAAGGCGACCAUCUGGACGGAUACUGACGCUGAGACGCGAAAGCGUGGGUAGCAAACAGG